Long non-coding RNA from Neodiprion fabricii, 718 nucleotides. RefSeq lists it as uncharacterized. NCBI's taxonomy places the organism in Eukaryota, Metazoa, Arthropoda, Insecta, Hymenoptera, Diprionidae. The record is from RefSeq and is a predicted model, not a curated record. The transcript is spliced from 3 exons.
CGAAUUACGUCGAAUGCCAGAGGCUCGAGUCUCGUCAGUCUGUCGCUGGCCUCUGCGCGACGUGGUUCGCGUUCUUCUGGGUCCGUAUCGAUGGUUGGACGUCCGUGUUCUCCAAUCCUCACGUGCGCGAAUCCUUUCUAUUACCUAGUUGUCGGUCUGUGCUUGUUGAAUUUUGUCUAAGGUUUGCGAACGUGAUGGGUUACAAAAACAUUGGGGAAAAAGACUCCGGGUGGUAGUCGAAGGUCCAAGAUUUACAGACUCAACGAGUCGUCUUCUGGCUUCGUAAACUAAUCCGGACGCUUCUUUCGAAAGGUGCUCAACUUCUCAGUUACCAAAAUCUAAUUCAACUUCGCAGAUUGAGGAAAACAGCGAAACUGUUAACUUCAAUAGGGGAGAAAUACCGCGAGGGGGAUUGUGGAUGCGGGGAGAAACUGAUUGUUGGUCGAGAUUCCCUCGUCCCCGGUUUAAUAAACGGUAAUAAAGCUGACCGAAGGGACGGCCAACCCCGCGACACCUGAGAGGAGGUAUGUUGUCGCCCGUAUGCAAUGACUGUGGCCUCAGCCGUAGGACCGUGGCACCGAGCCCAUCUCUACAAAAUUCUAGCAUGCAUUGUCCUGGCUCUUAUUACUCUACAGUAUCUUCUCAGCGGUGUUCUGGACCGGCAUUCUAUCGAGACCAUAUUCACCAUAAACGGCACUAGGUAUGAGUACUUCUAUAA